AUUUUGAUAUGAUGAUUUUGUCGAACGGGCGGAAUGAUCUGAUACUGUGAUUAAUGUUCUUCUCUGAAUUCAGUUACUCUAUAUGGGCAAAUUAAGGGUCUGCAUCCGGCGUGAUCAUUAAAUCUUACAAGAGAAGAUAAAAGGGAUGAUUGACAUAAAACCAGGAGCUUAAUCUGUAGUCUGAUGGAGAAGCAAUAUAUAUCACCAAAAGAGGGUAUGCUAGCAGACAAAAACAAUCAACAAGUUUAGGGUUCAUUUCUCAUUAAUGAACAAAGAAAGUUCGAGGCCAGAUGUAGCAACAUUGAAAAAUUCCAUAAAUGAAGUUGAUGCUGUGUCUCUUCCCCAGGCUCUAGGAAUUAGGCAAGAAGAUAUCAUGCUAAUCUUCUUGUAAUUAAGAUGUCCUGACAGUGAUUUGGACGUCAGUGUAACUUUAUUUUUCUGUGUUGAUAAGAUUGUUUUAUAAAUAAUUUCAUAUUAUGAAUUUUUAUUUUUGUUUGGAAAUAUAAAAGUGAACUUUUCUAAUAAUCAUAAAUAAAGGGUG
Coccinella septempunctata (seven-spotted ladybird) is the source of this 541-nucleotide long non-coding RNA. RefSeq lists it as uncharacterized. Lineage: Eukaryota; Metazoa; Arthropoda; Insecta; Coleoptera; Coccinellidae. The transcript is spliced from 5 exons. The record is from RefSeq and is a predicted model, not a curated record.